Molecule: long non-coding RNA, 1385 nt
Filed under: Olea europaea (common olive)
Lineage: Eukaryota; Viridiplantae; Streptophyta; Magnoliopsida; Lamiales; Oleaceae
Description: long non-coding RNA (OEUR_LNC003661)
Source: RNAcentral
AACUGUUGAACACGCUAUCACAAUUAAAUUGAACUUCCUUCUAGAACCAAAUAAUCAACUCUAAAUAUUUGAUGGAUAUCCAAACUUACUUCUAUCCCAUAGUUCACAAACUUAUUAUAGCCUCCUAAUUGACCUUCCUUUUACCGGGAUUCCUGAUGCAUAUUGAGAUAAACAGAUACAUGACUCUAAAUAUCUGACCAAUACACAUAGGCCAUAAGUUAACUUCUUUGCAUAUCCAAAUACAGAAACUAAUUAGCGUUUUAAUUGACAUUCACUCUACCAGGAUUCCUAAUGCUUAGUAAGAUAAACAAAUACUCAGACUCUAAAUAUUUGAUAAAUACCCAAAAGUUAACUUCUUGCGCAUUAUAGAAUAUGCAAAUUCACAAACGAAUUACCAAAGUAUACCUAUCAAUAGCCAACUAAUUCAAUACCCAGAGAAAAUUACUCCAUAAUCUCAGUUAUUAUGCAAUACAUUUAAUUAAAACUAUUAAGCAAUUCAAGACCCGUUUGGUGAAACUUCAAACAAUUUGUCAAUUUGAUUUUCAGAAACAAAAAAUUCAAAGAAUCAAGAACCAAAGAAUUAUCGCAAACAAUAGAAAAGACACAAUCUUGAUAAGAAUUACCCAAAAAAGACAUAGAUAACCGCUAUAUACCUCGUAAAAGUGAGUGAAUCGGGAUUAGAAAGAGAGGAUUUUUGAAGUUUAUGACCCCCACCAAUGGACUGAAUCAAAGUUGACGAACCCAAAGAAGCAGCUAUCGAUGCCAUUCUUGAUUUCGCCGUUCCAAGAUCUUUUGUACUUUCUUUUCUUUUCACUCAAUCUGAAUUCUUGAAGUGAGGCUCAAGGAUGCGAAGACAAUAAUUACCCCCUCAGAAAAUUCACCAAAUUGGACAAGAAAGAAGGAAAUAGAAAUGGGGAAUAUCUGAUUGACACGUGGCGGAUUGAUUUGCAGAAGGAGUGUGGGUUAUCUUGAAUGGUUGGCCAUUCUGAAUUGCUGAGUCAUGGGAGGGAGUGUGUGCAUCAGAAAAUCUGCAUCAGUUUUGUUUUCUACUUCGUUUUUUGUUGAAGAUAUUUGGAUUUUCAUGAAUAGGGAUGUGUUUCACUUGGAAACAAAAGAGAAGGAAAAAGGGGGACACAGAGGUAAAAAUAAAGGACAGGAAAAGUCGGAGGAAAAUAGAUAGGUAACUGAAUUUUGUUCUCAAAUGAAGAUGGAAUUUAUCUGUAAUAUUCUCUUGCUAAUGGCAACUAUUUAGCAUAAAAGGAGAAAAAGAAAUAAAAUAAAAGCAGUUUCUAAUCCAGUUGAACCAGCAGUUUGAUAAAUCCGACAACCCGAUUGACAAUUUAUAUCAAAUUUCAAAAUUUUACUUCUAAAUUUUAAGGUCAAGG